ACUGUCUAUGAUGUCUUAACCUACAUUAAAUGAGUUUCACGACCAUGAGAAAACUCACAUGCACUACCAUCUGAGACAGU
Molecule: small nucleolar RNA, 80 nt
Organism: Chanos chanos (milkfish)
Lineage: Eukaryota; Metazoa; Chordata; Actinopteri; Gonorynchiformes; Chanidae
Source: RefSeq, a predicted model, not a curated record